This 81-nucleotide small RNA is filed under the name Flavobacterium omnivorum. Its description in RNAcentral is "Flavo-1 RNA". It matches the Rfam family "Flavo-1 RNA". Lineage: Bacteria; Pseudomonadati; Bacteroidota; Flavobacteriia; Flavobacteriales; Flavobacteriaceae. The record is from RNAcentral.
UACUAGUCCUAAUAGUAGUGAAAAUCCUUGUUCUUUAUUUUUUAAUAGAGAACAAGAUUGUAGAAUAUAGCGGGAUAUGAG